RNAcentral lists this ribosomal RNA (444 nucleotides) under uncultured bacterium. RNAcentral describes it as "partial 16S ribosomal RNA". It matches the Rfam family "Bacterial small subunit ribosomal RNA", at positions 354 to 796 of the family's 1533-position model. The record is from RNAcentral.
GUGAGGAAUAUUGGUCAAUGGGCGAGAGCCUGAACCAGCCAAGUCGCGUGAAGGAAGAAGGAUCUAUGGUUCGUAAACUUCUUUUGCAGGGGAAUAAAGUGCGGGACGUGUCCUGUUUUGUAUGUACCCUGAGAAUAAGGAUCGGCUAACUCCGUGCCAGCAGCCGCGGUAAUACGGAGGAUCCGAGCGUUAUCCGGAUUUAUUGGGUUUAAAGGGUGCGUAGGUGGUUUGAUAAGUCAGCGGUGAAAGUUUGCAGCUUAACUGUAAAAAUGCCGUUGAAACUGUCGGACUUGAGUGUAAAUGAGGUAGGCGGAAUGCGUGGUGUAGCGGUGAAAUGCAUAGAUAUCACGCAGAACUCCGAUUGCGAAGGCAGCUUACUAAGCUACAACUGACACUGAAGCACGAAAGCGUGGGGAUCAAACAGGAUUAGAUACCCCGUAGUCC